ACCGCGAUCGCGGGUGGCCCGAUAUGCGG
RNAcentral lists this unclassified non-coding RNA (29 nucleotides) under Pseudorhizobium banfieldiae. RNAcentral describes it as "Rhizobium sp. NT-26 SNORD105". Lineage: Bacteria; Pseudomonadati; Pseudomonadota; Alphaproteobacteria; Hyphomicrobiales; Rhizobiaceae. The record is from RNAcentral.